Molecule: long non-coding RNA, 1000 nt
Filed under: Phasianus colchicus (ring-necked pheasant)
Lineage: Eukaryota; Metazoa; Chordata; Aves; Galliformes; Phasianidae
Description: lncRNA (ENSPCLG00000006326.1)
Source: RNAcentral
GCUGGCUUAGUCUGCCUGACAUGCUUAGAAGGCUAGAAUUGGGAUUUGUUUUCCAGGUUUGUCAACUUUCUGCUUUCUAGAAAGGCCUUCAAGUCAGGAAAUUUCCUGAAAUAUUCUAAAAGAUCAUGGGUGGCUGUAGUUGGAAACAAAGUAAUAGCAACUUCAAUAACGCCAUUGGUAGAAAUUUAUGAAAAACUUAUACAGCCAGAAAGUUUGAGGCAGGUACAAUGGUGAUUUCAGACUGUGACAAAUAAGCAUCUUUAGUAGAAUUCUUCAAGACUGGUGACCUCAGAAGUACAUUUAAACAUUAGGAAUGUGCACAGGUAAUGAGCAGCAUGGAUGUUGGCAAGCAGUAAAUGGUUAUUUCAGUUGCACACGAUUACGUAUAGUAGUGUAAAUAGAAAUUGUGGGUUGUUCUAUUUAUUUGGUAUUUCUACAUCAUUUACUCUACAUUUUCUCCUCAGCUUUAGUCUUUGUAUCACAUUUUAAAAAUCCUGAAACAUACUCCUUGAACUAUGACUUUGUUAACGUCUUUUUCCAAGUUCUCUCAGUUUUUUCUCUGUAUUGUAUUUUAGAGCAAUUUACCUGUGAUGACAGAAAUGAACCUAGAAAAUAUAAUGGAGUUUUCCUAAUCUUCCAGAGUUUGCCUUUGGAUUCAAUGAUCUUGUUCCAUGAAGUGAUCACAGAUCCAGACACACUUCUGGUCUCCCCAGGCUUAUCACCAUUACCAGUCUAGCUUCUGAUCUCUGAACCGCAGUCAGGACUCAAUUCAGUCUCUCUACGUGGGGAGAAAAGGUACUUCAAAAUCACAUCUAAACCUACCAACAAGCCUAACUACUUAAUAUAUUCUGUAGAUAGAGCACAAGCACACGGAGGUUAUGCCACUAAUUUAGGUUUUAAUGCUAAUAUUAUUGGACUUACAGUAGUCCAAGGAAUUAUUAAAUUAAGCAACAACUACCUUUACCUCAAAAAUAUUCACAUAUUUUACAUAACUUUGUUU